This 851-nucleotide ribosomal RNA is filed under the name Flavoparmelia aff. caperata MAF-Lich 17572. RNAcentral describes it as "eukaryotic LSU rRNA". It matches the Rfam family "Eukaryotic large subunit ribosomal RNA", at positions 71 to 936 of the family's 3401-position model. Lineage: Eukaryota; Fungi; Ascomycota; Lecanoromycetes; Lecanorales; Parmeliaceae. The record is from RNAcentral.
GGGAUUGCCUCAGUAACGGCGAGUGAAGCGGCAACAGCUCAAAUUUGAAAUCUGGCCCCUCUCGGGGUCCGAGUUGUAAUUUGUAGAGAGUGUUUCGGGGGAGACCGUGGUCUAAGUCCAUUGGAACAUGGCGUCAUAGAGGGUGAGAAUCCCGUCUGUGACCGCGGAUCGAGCCCAUGUGAAGCCUCUUCGACGAGUCGAGUUGUUUGGGAAUGCAGCUCAAAAUGGGUGGUAAAUUUCAUCUAAAGCUAAAUACUGGCUGGAGACCGAUAGCGCACAAGUAGAGUGAUCGAAAGAUGAAAAGCACUUUGGAAAGAGAGUUAAACAGUACGUGAAAUUGUUGAAAGGGAAGCGCUUGCGACCAGACCUGCCCGUGGGCGAUCAGCCGCUGUUCUCAGCGGUGCACUCGUUCCACGAUCAGGCCAGCAUCGGUUUCGGCGGUCGGAUAAAGGCCUUGGGAAUGUAGCUUCCUUUCGGGGGAGUCUUAUAGCCCUUGGUGCAAUGCGGCCAGCCGGGACCGAGGACCGCGCUUCGGCUAGGAUGCUGGCGUAAUGGUCGUAAGCGACCCGUCUUGAAACACGGACCAAGGAGUCUAACAUCUAUGCGAGUGUUUGGGUGUCAAACCCAUGCGCGGAAUGAAAGUGAACGGAGGUGAGAACCCUUAAGGGCGCAUCAUCGACCGAUCCAGAUGUCUUCGGAUGGAUUUGAGUAUGAGCAUAGCUGUUGGGACCCGAAAGAUGGUGAACUAUGCCUGAAUAGGGUGAAGCCAGAGGAAACUCUGGUGGAGGCUCGCAGCGGUUCUGACGUGCAAAUCGAUCGUCAAAUUUGGGUAUAGGGGCGAAAGACUAAUC